CAGUAGCCACGGGAAUACGUAGGUGGCAAGCGUUGUCCGGAAUUAUUGGGCGUAAAGGGCUCGCAGGCGGUUUCUUAAGUCUGAUGUGAAAGCCCCCGGCUCAACCGGGGAGGGUCAUUGGAAACUGGGAAACUUGAGUGCAGAGGAGGAGAGUGGAAUUCCACGUGUAGCGGUGAAAUGCGUAGAGAUGUGGAGGAACACCAGUGGCGAAGGCGACUCUCUGGUCUGUAACUGACGCUGAGGAGCGAAAGCGUGGGGAGCGAACAGGAUUAGAUACCCCUGUAGUCCCUGUCUCUUAUAC
RNAcentral lists this ribosomal RNA (301 nucleotides) under uncultured bacterium. RNAcentral describes it as "partial 16S ribosomal RNA". It matches the Rfam family "Bacterial small subunit ribosomal RNA", at positions 509 to 807 of the family's 1533-position model. The record is from RNAcentral.